Molecule: ribosomal RNA, 515 nt
Filed under: uncultured bacterium
Lineage: Bacteria
Description: partial 16S ribosomal RNA
Rfam family: Bacterial small subunit ribosomal RNA
Source: RNAcentral
GAUGAACGCUGGCGGCGUGCCUAAUACACGCAAGUCGAGCGAAUGGAUUAAGAGCUUGCUCUUAUGAAGUUAGCGGCGGACGGGUGAGUAACACGUGGGUAACCUGCCCAUAAGACUGGGAUAACUCCGGGAAACCGGGGCUAAUACCGGAUAACAUUUUGAACCGCAUGGUUCGAAAUUGAAAGGCGGCUUCGGCUGUCACUUAUGGAUGGACCCGCGUCGCAUUAGCUAGUUGGUGAGGUAACGGCUCACCAAGGCAACGAUGCGUAGCCGACCUGAGAGGGUGAUCGGCCACACUGGGACUGAGACACGGCCCAGACUCCUACGGGAGGCAGCAGUAGGGAAUCUUCCGCAAUGGACGAAAGUCUGACGGAGCAACACCGCGUGAGUGAUGAAGGCUUUCGGGUCGUAAAACUCUGUUGUUAGGGAAGAACAAGUGCUAGUUGAAUAAGCUGGCACCCUGACGGUACCUAACCAGAAAGCCACGGCUAACUACGUGCCAGCCGCCGCUGUAA